UGCCUGUGAUGAUUUGCCAUGCUAAUACUGAUGCACUAGCCGGAGCGUGUGCUCGCUGUGCUGGUAGUGUCUGAGUGUACCCAGCUUACUGAGGCUG
Molecule: small nucleolar RNA, 97 nt
Organism: Pseudophryne corroboree (corroboree frog)
Lineage: Eukaryota; Metazoa; Chordata; Amphibia; Anura; Myobatrachidae
Source: RefSeq, a predicted model, not a curated record